This 448-nucleotide ribosomal RNA is filed under the name uncultured Chromatiales bacterium. RNAcentral's name for it is "bacterial SSU rRNA". It matches the Rfam family "Bacterial small subunit ribosomal RNA", at positions 1082 to 1533 of the family's 1533-position model. The record is from RNAcentral. Lineage: Bacteria; Pseudomonadati; Pseudomonadota; Gammaproteobacteria; Chromatiales.
UAGUCCGUACGAGCGCACCCUUGUCCCUAGUUGCCAGCACUUCGGGUGGGAACUCUAGGGAGACUGCCGGUGAUAAACCGGAGGAAGGUGGGGAUGACGUCAAGUCAUCAUGGCCCUUAUGGGGAGGGCUACACACGUGCUACAAUGGCCGGCACAGAGGGCUGCAAAGCCGCGAGGUGGAGCGAAUCUCAGAAAACCGGUCGUAGUCCGGAUUGCAGUCUGCAACUCGACUGCAUGAAGCCGGAAUCGCUAGUAAUCGCGGAUCAGAACGCCGCGGUGAAUACGUUCCCGGGCCUUGUACACACCGCCCGUCACACCAUGGGAGUGGGCUGUACCAGAAGUAGGUAGUCUAACCUUCGGGAGGACGCUUACCACGGUGUGGUUCAUGACUGGGGUGAAGUCGUAACAAGGUAGCCCUAGGGGAACCUGGGGCUGGAUCACCUCCUUU